Molecule: ribosomal RNA, 560 nt
Filed under: Aureobasidium thailandense
Lineage: Eukaryota; Fungi; Ascomycota; Dothideomycetes; Dothideales; Saccotheciaceae
Description: partial large subunit ribosomal RNA
Rfam family: Eukaryotic large subunit ribosomal RNA
Source: RNAcentral
GUAACGGCGAGUGAAGCGGCAACAGCUCAAAUUUGAAAGCUGGCCUUCGGGUCCGCAUUGUAAUUUGUAGAGGAUGCUUUGGGGCAGCCGCCUGUCUAAGUUCCUUGGAACAGGACGUCAUAGAGGGUGAGAAUCCCGUAUGUGACAGGACAUGGCACCCUAUGUAAAGCUCCUUCGACGAGUCGAGUUGUUUGGGAAUGCAGCUCUAAAUGGGAGGUAAAUUUCUUCUAAAGCUAAAUACCGGCGAGAGACCGAUAGCGCACAAGUAGAGUGAUCGAAAGAUGAAAAGCACUUUGGAAAGAGAGUUAAAAAGCACGUGAAAUUGUUGAAAGGGAAGCGCUUGCAAUCAGACUUGUUUUGACUGUUCGGCCGGUCUUCUGACCGGUUUACUCAGUCUGGACAGGCCAGCAUCAGUUUUGGCGGCCGGAUAAAGGCUCAGGGAAUGUGGCUCUCACUUCGGUGGGAGUGUUAUAGCCCUGGGUGUAAUACGGCCAGCCGGGACUGAGGUCCGCGCUUCGGCUAGGAUGCUGGCGUAAUGGUUGUAAGCGACCCGUCUUGAA